UACGGAGGAUGCGAGCGUUAUCCGGAUUUAUUGGGUUUAAAGGGAGCGCAGACGGGUCGUUAAGUCAGCUGUGAAAGUUUGGGGCUCAACCUUAAAAUUGCAGUUGAUACUGGCGUCCUUGAGUGCGGUUGAGGUGUGCGGAAUUCGUGGUGUAGCGGUGAAAUGCUUAGAUAUCACGAAGAACUCCGAUUGCGAAGGCAGCACACUAAUCCGUAACUGACGUUCAUGCUCGAAAGUGUGGGUAUCAAACAGGAUUAGAAACCCCGGCCGGCUGACUGACU
Molecule: ribosomal RNA, 281 nt
Filed under: Phocaeicola plebeius DSM 17135
Lineage: Bacteria; Pseudomonadati; Bacteroidota; Bacteroidia; Bacteroidales; Bacteroidaceae
Description: partial 16S ribosomal RNA
Rfam family: Bacterial small subunit ribosomal RNA
Source: RNAcentral